UCACACAUCUCUUCCCGUUCCCCGUUCUCCCAUGGUGGCCAAAUCCCUCGCCCCACAGCUGGCGCCCUUCGUCACGAACGCCGGCGCUCCCUGGUCCAGCCGCCGCUCCCCUCCGUCACCACCACGGGUGCUCCCUGUCAGGUCGAGGCUCCCCUUCGCAGCCGCUGCUCUUCCUCCCCUUCAUGUCGAAUCGGUCGCGGAAGUGGCCGAGGACGCCCUCGAGCUCGGCAUGCUCGCGCCAGCGCUAGGCGCCGGCGGAGGCAUACGCGGAGGCGUGGCACUCGCACGCACCUUCUCUACCCCGCUCCCUCUCCGAAUCCGGUUGCCGAAGUGCUCGAGGAGCCGCUCGAGCUCGGCAUGCUCGCGUGCGACGCCGGGUUUCUCGCUCCUCCUGAUGCCGUCGCCGCCGCCGUCGCCGCCAUGAGCCUCUCCACCCUCUCUCGCGCGGUCUUCUGGGUCCAGGUAAGUCUCUCUCUCCAACCCCGCCGCCUGCUCCACCCCGUCAAUUCGGUUCGUCCCCAGGUGCAUCGCCUCAUUCAGAAAUCACCAUGAAUGUUCCCAAUACUGUGUAUAAUUCGUUCUGUUAUAGGGCUUUGUUAGAAAAGCUGAUUUAACUGAGUAUUAUCCUGCUCUAGAUUGCUGCACCUUCUGGUUGUGAGUGGAUCCAAGAGUUACCAUGAAAGAAAGGAAGUUGGAGAAGUUACUAUUGAAGAGAAAUUCAGUGUCAUGUAGUUCUCAAGAGAUAAAAUGGAACAACAAGUGCAAGCCUCUCAUUCCUACACUAACUAAUCAGAUUUCGAGAGGGAUAAGGAGGUGCCUAAAGGGGAUGGGAGCAAAAAGUCUGAAUCGAAGAGCAUAUUUGUUUACCACAUUCAGUUGUUGGCCCUGCUGUUGACGUCCAUGGUGGCGCUGAUGAUGAUCUUGGCAAGGAUUUUAUGUAUCUGCCUGGGGCCUUGGUAUGUCCUUGAGCACGCAUCAGGUCAAAGGAAGAAGUCAAACCUGAAGAAGUGCAGGGAAGAAUUUCAGCUACGUGUGGUCAGCUAGUUCAGGGGACGUGCAGGGCGGGCGCGGCCGCGCGGGUGCCGGGGCAGGCUCCUGGGCACUGGCGAUCUCGCAGACGGAUGCCACGCUGCAAGGGCAAGCUCCUGGGCGCCCACUAUGUCGCUGACGGAUUCCACGCUGCGAGUGGCAACAAUCGGCGAUGGCGAUCAUGCAGGGAGGCGACAGAGUGGUGCAGUGCCGCGAGGUCGCCGUGCAGGCAGGAGACGGUGUUGGUGGGCGGCGUCUAGAGCUGUGGCGACUCAAGGCAGACAACUUCGAGGUUAAGGGCGAGGGGAGCCAAUUUCGUUGAGUUUCCUUCAUUAGCGAUCAGAAUUGCGUAAUCGUAGGGGAUGCGAAACUGGUAGUUGGAAUAUUCCUCGUUGGUGGAGUAUGGUCAGUCAUUGAAAAUUGCUAGGUCCACACCAUUGGCGUAUUAGAUUAAUGAUGACCGUUAGAUUGAGAUA
Molecule: RNA transcript, 1505 nt
Organism: Triticum dicoccoides
Lineage: Eukaryota; Viridiplantae; Streptophyta; Magnoliopsida; Poales; Poaceae
Exons: 5
Source: RefSeq, a predicted model, not a curated record